Molecule: ribosomal RNA, 253 nt
Filed under: uncultured bacterium
Lineage: Bacteria
Description: partial 16S ribosomal RNA
Rfam family: Bacterial small subunit ribosomal RNA
Source: RNAcentral
UACGUAGGGGGCAAGCGUUGUCCGGAUUUAUUGGGCGUAAAGAGCGUGUAGGCGGCCAUGUAGGUCCGUUGUGAAAACUCGAGGCUCAACCUCGAGACGCCGAUGGAAACCAUGUGGCUAGAGUCCGGAAGAGGAGAGUGGAAUUCCUGGUGUAGCGGUGAAAUGCGCAGAUAUCAGGAAGAACACCCGUGGCUAAGGCGGCUCUCUAGUACGGUACUGACGUUGAGGCACGAAAGCGUGGGGAGCAAACAGG